RNAcentral lists this ribosomal RNA (280 nucleotides) under Bacillus pumilus. RNAcentral's name for it is "partial 16S ribosomal RNA". It matches the Rfam family "Bacterial small subunit ribosomal RNA", at positions 1091 to 1372 of the family's 1533-position model. Lineage: Bacteria; Bacillati; Bacillota; Bacilli; Caryophanales; Bacillaceae. The record is from RNAcentral.
AACGAGCGCAACCCUUGAUCUUAGUUGCCAGCAUUCAGUUGGGCACUCUAAGGUGACUGCCGGUGACAAACCGGAGGAAGGUGGGGAUGACGUCAAAUCAUCAUGCCCCUUAUGACCUGGGCUACACACGUGCUACAAUGGACAGAACAAAGGGCUGCGAGACCGCAAGGUUUAGCCAAUCCCACAAAUCUGUUCUCAGUUCGGAUCGCAGUCUGCAACUCGACUGCGUGAAGCUGGAAUCGCUAGUAAUCGCGGAUCAGCAUGCCGCGGUGAAUACGUU